RNAcentral lists this ribosomal RNA (405 nucleotides) under uncultured bacterium. RNAcentral's name for it is "partial 16S ribosomal RNA". It matches the Rfam family "Bacterial small subunit ribosomal RNA", at positions 28 to 526 of the family's 1533-position model. The record is from RNAcentral.
GAUGAACGCUGGCGGCGUGCCUAAUACAUGCCAGUCGAACUAAGCGGGGAGGGGUGAGUAACACGUGGAUAACCUCCUAUAAGACUGGGAUAACUUCGGGCAACCGUAACUAAAACUGAUACUUAUCUAUGGAUCCGCGAUGCAUUAGCUAGUUGGUAAGGUAACGGCUUACCAAGGCCACGAUGAAUAGCAGACCUGAGAGGGUGAUCGGCCACACUGGAACUGAGACACGGUCCAGACUCCUACGGGAGGCAGCAGUAGGGAAUCUUCCGCAAUGGGCGAAAGCCUGACGGAGCAACGCCGCGUGAGUGAUGAAGGUCUUCGGAUCGUAAAACUCUGUUAUUAGGGAAGCGGUACCUAAUCAGAAAGCCACGGCUAACUACGGGCCAGCAGCCGCGGUAAUAC